AAGACUAUACGUUCAGGGAUCAUUUCUAUAGUUCCUUACUAGAGAAGUUUCUCUGACUCUGUAGAGCACCGAAAACCAUGAGGAAGAGGUGCAGCGUUCUCUCCUGAGAGUGAAGCUGGCCUUGGGUGUUGUUUUGUGCAACUGCCCAUUGCCAUUGAUGAGCGUGCUCCUCUCUCCUGGGAGAUCCUGGAAGAGUUAGAGGGAGAGAAUGCAGUCUGAGU
Molecule: small nucleolar RNA, 221 nt
Organism: Jaculus jaculus (lesser Egyptian jerboa)
Lineage: Eukaryota; Metazoa; Chordata; Mammalia; Rodentia; Dipodidae
Gene: U3
Rfam family: Small nucleolar RNA U3
About the family: Small nucleolar RNAs (snoRNAs) are involved in the processing and modification of rRNA in the nucleolus. There are two main classes of snoRNAs: the box C/D class, and the box H/ACA class.
Source: Ensembl